GAGGGUAUAGCUCAGUUGGUGGAGUUCCUGCUUGGCAUGCGCGGUCCUGGGUUCAAUCCCUGGUACCUCCA
This 71-nucleotide transfer RNA is filed under the name Camelus bactrianus (Bactrian camel). It matches the Rfam family "tRNA". From Rfam's summary of the family: Transfer RNA (tRNA) molecules are approximately 80 nucleotides in length. Their secondary structure includes four short double-helical elements and three loops (D, anti-codon, and T loops). RNAcentral also lists the same sequence under 1 other name. The record is from Rfam by way of RNAcentral. Lineage: Eukaryota; Metazoa; Chordata; Mammalia; Artiodactyla; Camelidae.